RNAcentral lists this non-coding RNA (168 nucleotides) under Terrisporobacter glycolicus. Its description in RNAcentral is "Lysine riboswitch". It matches the Rfam family "Lysine riboswitch aptamer". From Rfam's summary of the family: Riboswitches are metabolite binding domains within certain messenger RNAs that serve as precision sensors for their corresponding targets. Allosteric rearrangement of mRNA structure is mediated by ligand binding, and this results in modulation of gene expression. The record is from RNAcentral. Lineage: Bacteria; Bacillati; Bacillota; Clostridia; Peptostreptococcales; Peptostreptococcaceae.
UAAGGUAGAGGUGCGAUUUUUAUCAGUAACAAUAAGGAGUUAAGCAACGUUGAUUUAUUGUGAAAGGAAACAUCGCCGAAGCGUAUAACUGAAGCUUUAAGGUUAUUUGGCUGGGGGUAUAUAUAAUAUAUAUGCCACUGUCACUAAGAAAUUAGUGUUGAGCUAUCA